CCUACGGGAGGCAGCAGUGAGGAAUAUUGGUCAAUGGGCGCUAGCCUGAACCAGCCAAGUAGCGUGAAGGAUGACUGCCCUAUGGAUUGUAAACUUCUUUUAUAUGGGAGUAAAGUGCAGUACGUAUAGUGCUUGGCAAGUACCUGAUGAAAAAGGAUCGGCUAACUCCGUGCCAGCAGCCGCGGUAAUACGGAGGAUGCGAGCGUUAUCCGGAUUUAUUGGGUUUAAAGGGAGCGUAGGCGGGUUGUUAAGUCAGUGGUUAAAGUGUGCGGCUCAACCUUAAGAUUGCAGUUGAAACUGGCAUUCUUGAGUACAGUAGAGGUAGGCGGAAUGCGUGGUGUAGCGGUGAAAUGCUUAGAUAUCACGAAGAACUCCGAUUGCGAAGGCAGCCUGCUGGACUCUAACUGACGCUGAUGCUCGAAAGUGUGGGUAUCGAACAGGAUUAGAUACCCGUGUAGUC
RNAcentral lists this ribosomal RNA (460 nucleotides) under uncultured bacterium. RNAcentral describes it as "partial 16S ribosomal RNA". It matches the Rfam family "Bacterial small subunit ribosomal RNA", at positions 338 to 795 of the family's 1533-position model. The record is from RNAcentral.